This 790-nucleotide ribosomal RNA is filed under the name uncultured bacterium. RNAcentral's name for it is "bacterial SSU rRNA". It matches the Rfam family "Bacterial small subunit ribosomal RNA", at positions 119 to 904 of the family's 1533-position model. The record is from RNAcentral.
GGGUAACCUACCCCGAAGACCGGGAUAACCCCGGGAAACCGGGGCUAAUACCGGAUACCUUCCCCUCGCCGCAUGGAGGGGGGAAGAAAGGUUGGCUUCGGCCUUCCGCUUCGGGAUGGGCCCGCGGCCCAUUAGCUAGUUGGUGGGGUAACGGCCCACCAAGGCGACGAUGGGUAGCCGGCCUGAGAGGGUGUCCGGCCACACUGGGACCGAGACACGGCCCAGACUCCUACGGGAGGCAGCAGUGAGGAAUAUUGCGCAAUGGGCGAAAGCCUGACGCAGCGACGCCGCGUGGGGGAUGAAGGCCUUCGGGUUGUAAACCCCUGUCAGGAGGGACGAAGCGGCUUCGUGCCGUGACGGUACCUCGGUAGGAAGCCCCGGCCAACUACGUGCCAGCAGCCGCGGUAAGACGUAGGGGGCGAGCGUUGUCCGGAAUUACUGGGCGUAAAGAGCUCGUAGGCGGCCUGUUAAGUCGGAUGUGAAAGCCCCCGGCUCAACCGGGGAAUUGCAUCCGAUACUGGCAGGCUAGAGUCUGGUAGAGGGAGGUGGAAUUCCCGGUGUAGCGGUGAAAUGCGCAGAUAUCGGGAGGAACACCGGUGGCGAAGGCGGCCUCCUGGGCCACGACUGACGCUGAGGAGCGAAAGCUGGGGGAGCGAACAGGAUUAGAUACCCUGGUAGUCCCAGCCGUAAACGAUGGGCACUAGGUGUGGGGGGUUACCAUACCCUCCGUGCCGAAGCUAACGCAUUAAGUGCCCCGCCUGGGGAGUACGGCCGCAAGGUUAAAACUCAA